AACCUCGGGGUGCCGCCUCCACAGGCUGUGGCUGGGGCUGGGGCGCGGGAGGCCCGCGGGGCUUCGGAGAGGGAAACUUAGAGAAAAGUCUUCCACUUGGCUUGGGGCCGCAGGGGAAGGAAGACGCCCUCCGCCUGUGCCGGCGCCGACCGCGGGCCGGCAGGUGGGGAGGCCCAGAGCUGGCGGGGAGUUCGUCCCACUCGGAGCCACAGCCUUGCCCGAGGGAGCCUCGAAAUCGUUCAAGGGCAACCUCAGACCAGAGCCAGGGCGCCUCCUCCACAUUCCUGACAGAUGUGCACGCCGCCUCCUCUUGGAUGCUUCCCGUGACAAGGAGCUCACUCCUCAACAAGGCGGACUGCUCGUCCAUCAAGCCUGGCAUCUAAUUCACCUGUGCCGGGUACCGCAGAUGGAGAACGCCAGACAGCUGACACAAAUGCAAGACCCACAGCAACCCCAGGUGGGACCGUGAGGCCUCUUCUAAGUGCCUGGGUGUUCAAAAAUGCCUCCCGAGCCCAGUGUUUUCCCAGAGCAUUUCCCAGAGUGACUGAGCAGGACUGGACCCUAUUAGGUCACCUCAGUCUCAUGCAGGAUUUCUUUACCUGGCCGCUACUGCCAUUUGGGGCCGGCUAAUGCUUUGUUAUUGGGGCUAAUGCUUUGUUAUUGGGGCCAGCUAAUGCUUUGUUAUUAAACCUCCUUCAAAACUGCAGGAGGUUUAACGGUAUCCAUGGCCUCUCCAUGAUUCAUAAAAUACCCAUAGCAUCAGCCUCUCUCUGUAACGACCAGAAAUGUCUCUAGAUAUCACAAGUGUCCUCCGGGGGCAAAAUCGUCGAGGUCUAAUACCAUCAUUUUAGAGAUAAGGAAACUGAGGCCUAGAGAGUGGAGGUGACUUGCUCAAGGCCAUAUGGCAAGUGAGGACCAGACAGGACUGAGCCCAGGGCUCUGGUGAAAGGAUCCCCAGGCCUCUCUGCCCUGCUGCUCUCUCCUCACACCCUCCUCCUCCAUCUUCCCUGGAUUUCCACCAAAUCAGCCUGCCUUCUAGAAGUUAGAAAGAAAAGAAUUCACAUCUGAGCAUACACGAAAAGUCCAGCCUUCCCCCUGGGAUGUAAAAUGGUGCAGCCACUUUGGAAAAGAGUCUAGCAGUUCCUCAAAAAGU
RNAcentral lists this long non-coding RNA (1153 nucleotides) under Homo sapiens (human). Its description in RNAcentral is "non-protein coding lnc-LGMN-2:6". Lineage: Eukaryota; Metazoa; Chordata; Mammalia; Primates; Hominidae. The record is from RNAcentral.